UACGUAGGUGGCAAGCGUUGUCCGGAUUUACUGGGUGUAAAGGGCGUGCAGCCGGAGAGACAAGUCAGAUGUGAAAUCCACGGGCUCAACUCGUGAACUGCAUUUGAAACUGUUUCCCUUGAGUGUCGGAGAGGUAAUCGGAAUUCCUUGUGUAGCGGUGAAAUGCGUAGAUAUAAGGAAGGACACCAGUGGCGAAGGCGGAUUACUGGACGAUAACUGACGGUGAGGUUCGAAAGCGUGGGUAGCAAACAGG
Molecule: ribosomal RNA, 253 nt
Filed under: uncultured bacterium
Lineage: Bacteria
Description: partial 16S ribosomal RNA
Rfam family: Bacterial small subunit ribosomal RNA
Source: RNAcentral